CCUACGGGGUGCAGCAGUGGGGAAUCUUCCGCAAUGGGCGAAAGCCUGACGGAGCAACGCCGCGUGAUCGAAUGAAGGCCUUCGGGUUGUAAAGAUCUGUUGACAGGGACGAAUAAGCAAUGCGAAUAGUUUUGUGUAUGACGGUACCUGUUUAGAAAGCUCCGGCUAACUACGUGCCAGCAGCCGCGGUAAUACGUAGGGAGCAAGCGUUGUCGGGAAUUACUGGGCGUAAAGGGCGCGUAGGUGGGUGCUUAAGUCAGGUGUGAAAACUCCGGGCUCAAACUGGUGACUGCACUUGAAACUGGGUGUCUUGAGGGCAAGAGAGGAAUGUGGAAUGCCUAGUGUAGCGGUGAAAUGCGUAGAUAUUAGGAGGAACACCAGUGGCGAAGGCGGUCUGCUGGACAGCAACUGACGCUGAGGCGCGAAAGCGUGUGGAGCAAACAGGAUUAGAUACCCGUGUAGUC
This 464-nucleotide ribosomal RNA is filed under the name uncultured bacterium. RNAcentral describes it as "partial 16S ribosomal RNA". It matches the Rfam family "Bacterial small subunit ribosomal RNA", at positions 338 to 795 of the family's 1533-position model. The record is from RNAcentral.